GGCCCCAUAGUCUAGUGGUUACGACAUUGGACCUUUGAAUCCAAGAGCCCGAGUUCGAAUCUCGGUGGGGCCU
Molecule: transfer RNA, 73 nt
Filed under: Marchantia polymorpha subsp. ruderalis
Lineage: Eukaryota; Viridiplantae; Streptophyta; Marchantiopsida; Marchantiales; Marchantiaceae
Rfam family: tRNA
About the family: Transfer RNA (tRNA) molecules are approximately 80 nucleotides in length.
Source: Rfam by way of RNAcentral